UACGUAGGGGGCUAGCGUUGUCCGGAAUCAUUGGGCGUAAAGCGCGCGUAGGCGGCCAGAUAAGUCCGGUGUGAAAGUCAAAGGCUCAACCUUUGAAUGCCGCUGGAAACUGUCUGGCUCGAGUCCGGGAGGGGCGAGUGGAAUUCCUGGUGUAGCGGUGAAAUGCGCAGAUAUCAGGAGGAACACCGAUGGCGAAAGCGGCGCGCUGGACCUCUUCUGACGCUGAGGCGCGAAAGCUAGGGGAGCAAACGGG
RNAcentral lists this ribosomal RNA (253 nucleotides) under uncultured bacterium. RNAcentral describes it as "partial 16S ribosomal RNA". It matches the Rfam family "Bacterial small subunit ribosomal RNA", at positions 524 to 776 of the family's 1533-position model. The record is from RNAcentral.